RNAcentral lists this ribosomal RNA (432 nucleotides) under uncultured bacterium. Its description in RNAcentral is "partial 16S ribosomal RNA". It matches the Rfam family "Bacterial small subunit ribosomal RNA", at positions 338 to 795 of the family's 1533-position model. The record is from RNAcentral.
CCUACGGGAGGCAGCAGUGGGGAAUAUUGCACAAUGGGCGCAAGCCUGAUGCAGCGACGCCGCGUGAGGGAUGACGGUCUUCGGAUUGUAAACCUCUUUCGGCAGGGACGCGGUACCUGCAGAAGAAGCACCGGCCAACUACGUGCCAGCAGCCGCGGUAAUACGUAGGGUGCGAGCGUUGUCCGGAAUUACUGGGCGUAAAGAGCUCGUAGGCGGUUUGUCGCGUCGUCUGUGAAAUCCUACAGCUUAACUGUGGGCGUGCAGGCGAUACGGGCAGACUUGAGUACUACAGGGGAGACUGGAAUUCCUGGUGUAGCGGUGAAAUGCGCAGAUAUCAGGAGGAACACCGGUGGCGAAGGCGGGUCUCUGGGUAGUACUGACGCUGAGGAGCGAAAGCAUGGGUAGCGAACAGGAUUAGAUACCCUUGUAGUC